This is a regulatory RNA element of Aeromicrobium sp. Root495, 44 nucleotides long. It matches the Rfam family "L31-Actinobacteria ribosomal protein leader". Lineage: Bacteria; Bacillati; Actinomycetota; Actinomycetes; Propionibacteriales; Nocardioidaceae. The record is from Rfam.
UUGGUCCUGGUUCACGGGAGCGCGCCGCGCGCCGACCCAGCACC